UUCCUCCUCACUUGCGCUCCCCCUUGCUCCACCCACCUAUUUUCAUCUCCCGCAGAGUUCUGCCGCCUCUUCCUCUUCGUCACUGUUGCGGUCGCAGGGGGUCCAAGCAAGCAUGUGAAGAUGAGGUGUGGAUUUUGGCACGGCAGCCCGCUGUGCAGCUAUCGAGGUUCUGAGAGACAGGUCAAGAGGAUCAGCGGCCGCUGUCUGUCUGCCAGCCCACCUGGACGAGCCCAAGUUCCCACUGAGGGAGGAGACGCUGUGGUCGUGUUGCUCCAGCGCCCCGCGACCCUGGACAGGAUAAGCGGUUUGGAGAAUGAAUGGAUGUGCAUUUUCAUCGUCAUGGACGACAUCAUGUCACUGCUCUAAAGUGAAAAGGUGUUUUUCAGCGCAAGGCCAACUCGAACCAGUUGAAACAUUGCAGUGGCUCAGAAAACAAGAUUUCUGGAUUACAAUUAUGCACCCAUGACUAGCGCUCACAUCGCCGAGAGGAGGUCCCCUGGUGGAACCCUGCUCCCUAUACACACAGCUGCAUGCCAUUCUCCUCAACAUCCCUGCCUCCCUCCGUUCAUCCGUCAUGAGUCGGCCGCUAAAUGAAGCAAAGCACCUCGCCUUUGACCCCUUUCAAUGAGCCAUUAGGUCUUCCAGGGGUGCAAGACUCCCGCGGUCCAGAGGGGAGCGAUUUGGAGUAACCCGCUUGCAUCGGUAAUGUCCCAGAGCAUUCAGGGUGCAUUAAGCCUGUGGACAUCCCCUCCAUCUAGACUGCACUCUCUUCCCCUUUGCCUGGAGGCAUCAUCUUUCUCUGCAUUCAUUUAUUCUCCUUCUUUCACAACUGUGACAGUGCGUUGAGAACGGGGAGCAAAAACCGAUGAAUUAAAAGCUGUUGUCGCGAUCUAACCCAUUUGUUCGCAGCCAAGAUCAAAUGCUGGAAGGACGUCAUAAUUUAACAUAACUCCAAAUGCAUAUGAAAACAGAGAGAUAUAAGGGCUACGUAGGGGUUACUUUCAAUCAAUUUCAAUUCAAUGUAUAACGUUCUCAACGUAAACAGAAGGAAGCAUCGGCAAUAAGGUUUGCUGACAAGACACAACACAGUGAUAGUAUUUCAGUAAAUAAGGUGUGAGGUGCAAUGUACUACUUACAAAAAGCUCAACUCAUCAAUAUACAGUAGACUUCUGUGGUCAUAUACUAUUCCAUGUCAAACAGCUCAAAAAGAGCAUCGUUGGACCUUGAAUUGUCCCCUCGGGUACUCUUUUAUUACCCAUCAACCAUCACUGCAUCAUGGCUUCCCACUCACUAGACCACCUGUCCUUCCAAUCUCCUGCCGUCCGUCCGUCCGUCCGUCCGUCCGUCCGCUUGUCUUGUUUCAUCCAUCAAUGCAUUUAUUCUUCAAUCUCCUUUCUAUUUUUUUCCCCGGGUCGAUUCACCCCCUCGAUCCGUCUGUGCUUCCUCGAGCCGUUCCUCAUCCUGCUCACUCGUCCAUUCCUCUUGUUGAGUUCUCAGGCUCAUUUGGGAUUUGACAAGUCAGAGAUGAAACCGGACCAGUGCAGGAGGACUCCAUUUGAAUAUUUCCUUACAUAAUAGGACAAUGUGGGUCACAUUUGAAGAAUGCUUCAAUGCACAGUGUACAAAACCAAAUGUGUGUAUCAGGACAAUAUUUGAAACA
Phyllopteryx taeniolatus (common seadragon) is the source of this 1660-nucleotide long non-coding RNA. RefSeq lists it as uncharacterized. Lineage: Eukaryota; Metazoa; Chordata; Actinopteri; Syngnathiformes; Syngnathidae. The record is from RefSeq and is a predicted model, not a curated record. The transcript has 5 exons.